Molecule: long non-coding RNA, 567 nt
Organism: Sphaeramia orbicularis (orbiculate cardinalfish)
Lineage: Eukaryota; Metazoa; Chordata; Actinopteri; Kurtiformes; Apogonidae
Exons: 3
Source: RefSeq, a predicted model, not a curated record
UGUGUGUGUGUGUAUGAAUGAAUGUAUAUGUGUAUGAAUGUAUGUGUCUGUGUGCAUGUAUGUAUGAAUUUAUAUGUGUGUGUAUGUGUGCAUGUAUAGAUCCAACAUGACUGGGCCAAAACGCACAUGGCAGCAAGUCCCAGUAAAAUACAAGAACAUCCUGCAGACUGCUGUCAAAAAGAAAACCCACCAGCAGGGUACGGGUGCUGGGUCACCAACAGCUGACCUCACCUCAGCAGAGGACAUGGCUUUGGCCCAGAACAAAGGCAGGCCUGUGUUGGAGGGGAUCCCUGGGGGGACAGACCCAUACAUGUGUCCCUCCCAAGAUGCCACCUGCUUCAUACAAGUUUCUGGUGGCACCGUCACACUGUUGGACCCACCGACACCAGGGUCACCAACACAUACGUUAGACGAUGCUGAUCCAGUGAGUACUCCAUCAAAGGCAUACUGUAGGCUUGGCGUGGCUCGUUUACGAUCUUCAAUAAGAAUCCCAUUAAAUGUGAUGGGGUGAAGGCACCAGUGGAGCAGCAGCAGCAGCAGAUGAGGAGACCAGCUCUGUGGAUUCCA